Molecule: long non-coding RNA, 635 nt
Organism: Belonocnema kinseyi
Lineage: Eukaryota; Metazoa; Arthropoda; Insecta; Hymenoptera; Cynipidae
Exons: 3
Source: RefSeq, a predicted model, not a curated record
GCGAGUAAUUUGUUGGAGAGUAUUAUUUCUACCUAACUAGUAAUUGAAAGUAAAGAGGAGAAAGACGUGAUCUUUUGGAGAAAAGUUUCUGAAAAUAACACAGCGAGCACAGAGAAUGAGACUUUCCGAAGGCAAGCUACCCCUAAUAAUUCUGCCACUGCCGCUAAUUAUUCACAGCCGAGACGUCAAAUCAGUCAAAUAAAUGAUGAAAUUUAUUUUACGAAAAAAUAACCAACGCUGAAGUUUCUGGCCUUCCACAAGCCAGAAUGAAGAAAGUUUGGAAGCAUUUAUCUGUGAAAAUGUACUACGUUCGAACGAAGCUUCCACAAGAUCAGCCGGACCCCGAAUAUUUAUACUGUCACAUGGACGCUUUCAUUUAAUAAGAAUCUAUCUGCUGACAGCCUCGCGUAUGAGACUAUGCGCUGUGUUUAAUUAUAGAAAAUAGUCUGAUACACGCUGAUCUCGGCAAAUAGACAGCAAAAAGGUUGCACUAUUCAUUUUUUGUAACCGUGAGUUCCCAUAAAUAAUAUUAAUUACCGCAAGCCGGGGUUAAGCGGCACACCCUUCAUUCUGCAUUUCUAAAUUUGAUAUUCGCAUCUUCUAUGUAAAAUAUAUAAAGAAUUGCAACGACCCUG